RNAcentral lists this small RNA (1643 nucleotides) under Pongo abelii (Sumatran orangutan). RNAcentral describes it as "retained intron". The record is from RNAcentral. Lineage: Eukaryota; Metazoa; Chordata; Mammalia; Primates; Hominidae.
AUGAAGUGAAAGAAGAAGAUGAGACUUUUAUUGAGGAGCUGAUCAAUAACUAUGAUGGGAAAGUCCAUGGUGAAGAAGAGAUGAUCCCUGGAUCCGUCCUGAUUAGUGAUGCUGUUUUUCUGGAGUUGGUCGAUGCCCUGAAUCAGUACUCAGAUGAGGAGGAGGAAGGGCACAAUGACACCUCAGAUGGAAAGCAGGAUGACAGCAAAGAAGAUCUGCCAGUAACAAGAAAGAGAAAGCGACAUGCUAUUGAAGGAAGGAGCAAAGGAGUAUGCCAUGCUCCAUAACCCCCGCUCCAAGUGCUCUGGUCGUCGCCGGAGAAGGCACCACAUAGUCAGUGCUUCCUGCUCCAAUGCCUCAGCUUCUGCUGUGGCUGAGACUAAAGAAGGAGACAGUGACAGGGACACAGGCAAUGACUGGGCCUCCAGUUCUUCAGAGGCUAACUCUCGCUGUCAGACUCCCACAAAACAGAAGGCUAGUCCAGCCCCACCUCAACUGUGCGUAGUGGAAGCACCCUCGGAGCCUGUGGAAUGGACUGGGGCUGAAGAAUCUCUUUUUCGAGUCUUCCAUGGCACCUACUUCAACAACUUCUGUUCAAUAGCCAGGCUUCUGGGGACCAAGACGUGCAAGCAGGUCUUUCAGUUUGCAGUCAAAGAAUCACUUAUCCUGAAGCUGCCAACGGAUGAGCUCAUGAACCCCUCACAGAAGAAGAAAAGAAAGCACAGACUGUGGGCUGCACACUGCAGGAAGAUUCAGCUGAAGAAAGAUAACUCUUCCACACAAGUGUACAACUACCAACCCUGCGACCACCCAGACCGCCCCUGUGACAGCACCUGCCCCUGCAUCAUGACUCAGAAUUUCUGUGAGAAGUUCUGCCAGUGCAACCCAGACUGUCAGAAUCGUUUCCCUGGCUGUCGCUGUAAGACCCAGUGCAAUACCAAGCAAUGUCCUUGCUAUCUGGCAGUGCGAGAAUGUGACCCUGACCUGUGUCUCACCUGUGGGGCUUCAGAGCACUGGGACUGCAAGGUGGUUUCCUGUAAAAACUGCAGCAUCCAGCGUGGCCUUAAGAAGCACCUGCUGCUGGCCCCCUCAGAUGUGGCCGGAUGGGGCACCUUCAUAAAGGAGUCUGUGCAGAAGAACGAAUUCAUUUCUGAAUACUGUGGUGAGCUCAUCUCUCAGGAUGAGGCUGAUCGACGCGGAAAGGUCUAUGACAAAUACAUGUCCAGCUUCCUCUUCAACCUUAAUAAUGAUUUUGUAGUGGAUGCUACUCGGAAAGGAAACAAAAUUCGAUUUGCAAAUCAUUCAGUGAAUCCCAACUGUUAUGCCAAAGGUGAGUCCCAGUGACCUGGGAGGUGGGGUGGGGGAUGGAUGCCUCUUUACUGUGAUUUCCAUCCGUUGUUGAACCUUUUCCUUAGCUGAGCUAUUUUUUGUCCAAAGAUAAUCAUGAUUAAUAUCUGGUAUCAUUUUAGGCCCCUCUCAAUCUUAGUUUUGUAAUCUGCUUUUUUCAGUGAAUACAUUAUAAACACUUUCCCACAAAUGUGAUUUAACCAGCCUGAGCAACAUAGUGAGACCCAUCUCACAAAAUAAUAAUAGGCUGGGUGUGGUGGCUUACGCCUGUAAUCCCAGCACUUUGGGAGGCUGAG